Molecule: long non-coding RNA, 226 nt
Organism: Myripristis murdjan (pinecone soldierfish)
Lineage: Eukaryota; Metazoa; Chordata; Actinopteri; Holocentriformes; Holocentridae
Exons: 3
Source: RefSeq, a predicted model, not a curated record
AAUUAAUACGCCUCAAAAGCCAGGGUGUCAGCACAGAUCUCACCACCAUCUCCAUCAUGGUCACUGGAUAAGAGUCUGACACGAGGACAGAUGAGAGUAGCCUUGCGGUUCCUACCACAGUUAACCCACAGUAAUAGAAUGUCCCAGAUGGAGACUGGUGAGGUACAGAUCUGAGUGAAAGACUGCAAAAACCUUCCACCAGUCAGAGGAGUUAUCAUCGACCCAU